UACGUAGGGCGCGAGCGUUGUCCGGAUUUAUUGGGCGUAAAGAGCUCGUAGGCGGUUUGUCGCGUCGUCCGUGAAAACUCACAGCUUAACUGUGAGCUUGCGGUCGAUACGGGCAGGCUAGAGUUCGGUAGGGGAGACUGGAAUUCCUGGUGUAGCGGUGAAAUGCGCAGAUAUCAGGAGGAACACCGGUGGCGAAGGCGGAUCUCUGGGCCAUUAUUGACGCUGAGGAGCGAAAGC
RNAcentral lists this ribosomal RNA (237 nucleotides) under uncultured bacterium. RNAcentral's name for it is "partial 16S ribosomal RNA". It matches the Rfam family "Bacterial small subunit ribosomal RNA", at positions 524 to 760 of the family's 1533-position model. The record is from RNAcentral.